UUUUGUUUUUUAAUGUUUAUAGAUUUUAUAGUUCAUAUGAGCUGCUGUAAAAACAAACCUCCAUUUGUCACAAACGAUACUGCUCGAGAAGACGGUGGAAGCAGAAACCGUUUGGACGGCGCCUACAUACACGUGUACAUGCAGUUUUCGAAUGGAUCGAAACGAACAGAGACAAAAAUGGGGUGCCGUCCUGUGGCGCAUGGAGACCCGUUCUUGCGAGCCGCACUUGACGACGCGCUCGUGUCCGUCCGAUCCCCAUCUUGCGGCUGCUGUUCAAAACGGGACGAGACGUUGGCGCUGGACCUUGGCCCUGUUUGGAUACUCUAACUCAGUUAGAGGUUAAAGUUAAAUUCUAACCUUGAACCAACCUGAACUAACUCUAACCAAAAAGGUGUUUAGAUGGCAGGGUUAGAUUGACAAUAAAUGCUCUUCCUCAAUCAUUUGGCUACUUUGAGCCCUAUUUCCUGCUGGAUUUGGCGGAGCGAGCCCUGGCCGAGAUAGACUGGGACGCGCUCGGCAAGGAGCCGCGCUGGCCUCUCGCGCGGCCCGCCAGCCGAAUCUGCCGUCCCUGCGGAGUCACGCUGGCCGAGGCCGACGAGAAUGGGCCGCACAAGGAGCCGCGACUGCUUACCGGCGGGCGGAAGGGGCGCGGGGAGACAAGAGGGUUGGAACGGGAGGAUAGGGCGGGGCUACUUACCGACGGUGGACGGGAGCGCGGAUACGGCGAGGCGCCUUCAUAGACGGUGUGAGAGGAGGAAGGGAAAUGACAAAAACCUUCGAGGAAAUGGGGAGGGAUCUGUUGUGGGAAGAGCGAGAGAAAAAUGUGUUUUUUUAGUGGUCCCAAGAACUAACCCAAAUAAGCACCUUUUGAGUGGGUUAGAUUUUUUGAAUGGGUUAGAUGCAUCUAACCCAAACUAAUCUUCCUGUUUAGAUAUUUUUGAAUUACUUGAGUCCAAACUAACCCAAACUAACGAAACCAAACAGGGCCCUCAUCCGGUCUUCCUGCCGCGUAGUGAGAGGUCGGUCGGUAUUUGUUUACCCACCACUGCCGUAUUAUCCGGCCGGCCACGUUUUUGCGUGCAUUUCUUUCCCGGCCUGACAAUUACGUCCGUGUACCCAAUGUAACUCUCAACAUUAGGGGCUGAAAAGUCAUUCGCACUAACCGUUAGCAGCAGCUUACGUGGUGGAGAGGUAUCUGGACCACUUGUCAGCGAGUGGUCGUGUGACCUUUUGUCGGUUUAGUUCUGCAAAAUCCGCUUUUCCUCUGACGUACGAGGCCACCUGUAAAAUGCUGAAUCAGUCCCUCUAGCAGGAGCGAAAUUAUUAUACUCAAACAUAACGGGUAAAACAGAGUGAAGAUAACAUUGACCAGGAGCUCGUGUAAACAUCCGGAAGGAGUAUGUUUUAAAAUUUUGCCGGCUUGUUAUUUGAAAUCGAGCACAGCCAAACAUCCUGCAAGAUGGAGAACCAGAGAUCCCCUUUAUUUUCGUCCUUGUUCUAAGUGCGUAUGGAUCCUUUAAUUUGAGUUUUUUCUUUCUAUUUCAGCAAUUUGCACAUCUCAGUAGAAAGAAUAUCACACCAAAGGCACAUUUCGUACCAUCAAUGUAUGUAUUCUUUCUCAUGAAAUGUUGAAAAACUACUACUACUACUCAUCAUUUACGACUCCAGAAAAGAAAAGAAAAGAAAGCAGAAACCAUAUAUAGAAACGAACAUGCUUAACAAACGGUUUGGACUAAAACAUGCGACAGCACUGUCCAAGAAUAAAAGUCAAGAGAUGCCUUUCUUUCACCACGAGCACGGAGACACCUGUCCCCAGCAUUUUCCCUCUCCCGUAGAAUCAUCCUAGUCCCUGAUAAUUCUUUCUUUUUUUGCACAUCGUCCCUGAUAAUAAUUCUUUGAAACCUGAGGCCAUCGUCGGCAUUUUGGGCAGGGAACAACGGCCGGAGCCGUUAGCGCGCCGUCACCGCGAGGCAGGCCACCCGUUCCUGACUCGUAUGCCAGCCACACUUUUUUCCCCUGGAUCUGAUGAAUCCAUCCUGAUCCUGCCACCAGCAGCGGCCGAACUAGAAUUAUUGUGAGUGCGAGGAGAGCAUUGCCAUGUGGCGGAUUCAAAACCUUCCCCCCUCCACCCACCCGGCCACCCCCAUUUAGAUUUGAACAUUUUUAAACCACCACCACCACGUAAUUCGUCCCGGAUACUAAAAGCGAGGCGCCUUAAUUCCAUUAAAAUAUUCCUCCCCCACUCUCUCUCCCUCUCUCUCUGGUGUGGUGACUCUGUCCCUGUCGCUGGCUCUCUCACCCCGAGGGAAAGAGAGAGAGGGAAGGAGGCGCACGCGAGCUGCUGCGCCUGUGGAGGAGGAGCCACGCCCACGGCCACGGGGUUACGCGUCUCCACGGGUUCAGGGAGAGGGAGCUCGCGCGCGCUGCCAUUCCUGAGGCCUCGGCGGUUUCCCAGAUCGGCUAGUCCGCUGGUGUUUUUCUGCGGUUUUCUGUAGAAUUUUGGGAGUUGUUCGCCGAGAGUGGAUUGGCGCUGGGAGGAGGUCUGUGGAUUUGAGGUGGUCAGCGCGGAGAUCCCGUCGGAGGCGGGAGUUUUGGGUCCUCCGCGGGGUGAUCUCGGGCGCGCCGGCCGGCGAUGGCGUCGGUGGAGGUGCGGUCCGUGCGGAAGUCCGCGGCGUUGCGCCCGCGCGGGCCCGCCAAGGUGCAGCCCGCGCGGUCCAUGUCGCUCGACUACAAGUACUCCGCCGCGCGUGCUGGCGUCGAGCCCGGCCCGGCGCCCAACGGCGUAGGGCGCCGGGCUGCGGCGGACGAGGAAGGGGAUGCGGUGCCGCCCGAGGGAGACGCCGACUCUCCCUACAGCUCCAAGGCGACGACGACGGAGGAGGAGAGUGCUGGGGGUGGCGGGGAGGCCGAUUCAGCGUCCUCUGCAGCCGCGGCGCCGCGGAGUCCGUCGCCGGCGGCAGCUGCUGGCCCCUCACCGCGCGACACCAGAUGGGGUGACACCAGCUCCUACGGUGCUAAAAAGGUGGCUUUUCCCCCUUCGUUUUUGCCCUUUCUGUUUUCCGACACUUCUGGAAUGCCAGAAUUUAUAUGGAUAUAAUGCUUGAAAUUUGGUCAGCUCCGACUGAAGUGUUUUGUGGUUUCUGAAUCUGUGAACACCUAUUAUUCCGAGUUUUCUUUUUUGGUAGUUUGAUUGAAUUCCUGCAUUAACCAGGUGUAGAGCUUAUUUCCAGUAACCUGUAAAAACAAUUGUAAAGUGCUAGGCUGAGGUACAUAGAUGCCAAAGAUGUAAUUCCAUUUCGAGAUGCUUUAGAGCAUCUACAACNNNNNNNNNNNNNNNNNNNNNNNNNNNNNNNNNNNNNNNNNNNNNNNNNNNNNNNNNNNNNNNNNNNNNNNNNNNNNNNNNNNNNNNNNNNNNNNNNNNNNNNNNNNNNNNNNNNNNNNNNNNNNNNNNNNNNNNNNNNNNNNNNNNNNNNNNNNNNNNNNNNNNNNNNNNNNNNNNNNNNNNNNNNNNNNNNNNNNNNNNNNNNNNNNNNNNNNNNNNNNNNNNNNNNNNNNNNNNNNNNNNNNNNNNNNNNNNNNNNNNNNNNNNNNNNNNNNNNNNNNNNNNNNNNNNNNNNNNNNNNNNNNNNNNNNNNNNNNNNNNNNNNNNNNNNNNNNNNNNNNNNNNGUCCAGGCUGUCCGACCCAUAUGUGGGGUGGAUAUGGGGCUGCCCGGACGCGUCUGCCAUGUUGGACCGGCUGGCCGGCGUUGGAUCCUUGUCCUUGCGGCUUCGGACUCCGAGUCGGAGGUCAAUGUGCAAGGCCGGGGUCGAGGGACGAUCGUGCCCGCCGUGAAAGGGAGAAGGCAUGUCGCGUAGCGGCGGCCGGCGACGAGGAUGCCCAUGCUUGGAUCCGGGCUAAGCGGCGUGCCCGAGCUGCCCGUGACCUCGUUGUGGAGCAAACCCGGGCCGUCCGUGCCCUCGCCGGCCGCCCCCCCAAGGAGGAGGAUCUGAACAUGUCCAAUGCCGUGUCCGACACCUCCAGCUCUGGCGCCGAGCAGAUCCGCCUCGACCCCUACUGUGUCUUUGACCACUACUUUCGCGAGCACGAGGACAAGGGCAAGGGCAACCGUAGGUGAUGAACUAGACUAUGUAUAUCUAUAUAGUGUUAAUUUAGUUAUGAUGAAGUAGUAGAACAUGCCAUCAUUUUGGUAGUCUCUCAUGGUAUGUACAACUCCCCUAUGUAAUGUCCGGACAAUGUGAACUAUGUGCAAUGAAGUACAUGUGUUGAAAUCUACGUUGCACGUUUUUGUAUGGAUUUGAGGGUUUGCAUAUGAGGGGACGACUGCACACACGGACAAAUGAGGGGCGGGCCGGCGCUGUCCGCAGACGCUUAUGGGGUCAUAUUUGCCCAGUCCGGUUGUAGAUGGUCUUAGGUUGUUGUCCACGGUACUGCAGUUAUAAAUGUUGCCACUUGACGUUGCAAUGCCAGGAAGGCGCCAUGCGAAGUUUUGGCGAGAGUUCAAGGAAUGUGUUCUUCUCUAGUUCUUGACUUCUAGGUUGUUAUCAUUCUUAUACAAUUGAUAUGCUUGUAUCUGUUUUUCAACUUGGAGUAAGACACUAAUUUACCUUCUACCUAACACUUGUUGCAGAAGCAUAGAGUUUUUUGCCAGCUUCCAAAUGGUGAUUGGGCCUUAUGCACCGUGAUUACUACCUCUGGUGACGAGUCUGUACUAAAGGUUCCUGAAGGAAAAGUAAGCUACCUAAAAUCUGCGUGGAAGAUCUUAUUAUCUCUUUGAAAUUAUGAUAGUUUGACUCUCCUUCUUCCAAUUGAAGGUUCUAAGAUUGAAAACGGAGAGCCUUCAACCUGCAAAUCCUGAAAUUCUUGAUGGAGUGGAUGAUCUUAUGCAGCUGAGUUAUCUAAGUGAACCAUCUGUGCUGUACAACUUGCAGUACAGAUAUUCACAAGACAUGAUUUAUGUGAGGAUAGAUUAGAACCUUGUCUUUUCUUCUGGAGUUCAAUGAAUUUCUUAGUGAUAUGCUAUUGCAUUGUAGACUAAAGCAGGUCCAGUUUUGGUGGCCGUCAACCCUUUUAAGAAGGUUGCACUGUAUGGUAAUGGGUAUAUUAAAGCAUAUAAAAACAAAACAAUGGACAGUCCACAUGUGUAUGCAAUAGCAGAUUCAGCGCUUCGUGAAAUGAAAAGAGGUCAGUCUAUUAGUACAUCUUUCUUGCUGGUAUGAUCUUUCAAUUUUCUGAGGAAAAUCAUCUACAUCUAUGCCUAACUAAUUGAUAUGUUCAUUUGCAGAUGAAGUUAACCAGUCCAUUAUUAUAAGGUUGGUAUCUUCUAUUUUUUCAGUAAGAACUAAGAAGCAUUCAGUGGGAUUCAUGUUGUAAUAACUUUGCACCUGAAUUGAUAUGUACUCCCUCCGUAAACUAAUAUAAGAGCGUUUAGAUCACUACUUUAGUAAUCUAAACACUCUUAUAUUAGUUUACAGAGGGAGUAAUAGAUAGCGGAGCCACAUGAAAUAUGUAUUUUUGGGAUUGGUACUUUGCAUUUUCUGCUACUUUUUUCUGUCAGCUGAACAGAAUAAAUAGUCAUGUAACCAGUGAAAUGUACUUAUAUUAAUCGUCUUAUGCAUUGUCCAUCAUUUCAGUUCACACUGCGAGGGUCCUACCGGGAUAUUAAAAUAUGCAUGGUUGUUUAUCAUACAAAAAUUGGAACUUGAGUAGUCCACUUCCAACAGAUGCAAUAGGCACACGCCAACCCUAUAAUUGUCUCAUGCAUUGUCCAUGAUUUCAGUUCACACUACAAGGGUCCUACUGGGAUAUUAAAAUAUGCGCGGUUGUUUGUCAUACAAAAAUUGGGACUUGAGAAUAGUCCGGUUCCAACAGAUGCAAUAGGCACACACCAACCCUAUAAUCUCAUGUACCUGUUCCUUUUCCUUCACAUGGUUCACCAGUAAGUAAUAAAUGUGGUAGAUUUUUCUGCAUCGCCUUAGAUUGGAAUAAACAGUGAGUAGUACACUGCAAAAAUCUAAUAAAUUUACCGUAGCUGAUUUAAAAGGUUCACUGUGCAUGAUAACUUACACUUCAGUUUGCACUUUCAACUUUUUUCUUUCAUUGACAUUAUUUAAGCAAUUGUCUUUCUUUUUUACUUAAACCAUGAUAUGGUGAGCAAAUGAAUGAGUGAUGCCAUUUUCUAUGUAGUGGUGAGAGUGGAGCAGGAAAAACAGAAACUGCAAAGAUUGCCAUGCAGUAUCUGGCUUCACUUGGAGGUGGAAGUGGCAUAGAGUAUGAGAUCCUACAGACUAACCCAAUACUCGAGGCUUUUGGCAAUGCAAAGACAUUAAGAAAUGAUAAUUCAAGUCGCUUCGUAAGUUUUUUCUUAUGAUUAUCACAAUACUGUAACGCGAACAAAGUUUGGCUAAUAUUCUUAUAUUUUUUAUUACAGGGAAAGCUCAUCGAAAUUCAUUUCAGUACGACUGGAAGAAUAUGUGGUGCCAUGGUUCAAACAUGUAUGCAGAUUCUACCGAGUGUACCUGCUUUAUACCAUUAGCAUUUUCUGGUUUAAAUUUAAUUUUAUGUUUUUUAUUGAUGAAAUUUUCUAAUGAUCUUGCUGCAUGCACAAUUGGACAGUUCUACUCGAGAAGGUAACUUCUAAUUUUGUGGUUAUCUUUUUUCUCCUAAACACUGUUUUAGGAUAAGUAACCUAAUCCAAACUUUUCCACUAUGGUAGUCAAGGGUUGUACAGUGUGCAGUCGGUGAGCGUUCCUACCAUAUAUUUUAUCAGCUAUGUGCUGGUGCUCCAACGACACUCAGAGGUACAUAAUCUAUUCAUCCUGUCUGAAUUUGUUAGUCGCUGGCUUAUUUGGUUCAUACAGUUGUACAGGUGAUGGCAGCCUAGUAUAUCCUCUCAAACUUCUUUUGAACAUAGUCCUUUUCGUCCUGCUUAUUACAAGAACUACUAUUUGUACUGCUCGGCUUUCAACAUAGAUACUACAGUGUCUUCCAUCGACAAUUGACUUUGCUCCACACUUUUGCAUUGCACAAUACUUAGUUGUACAUGGUUUUCUGUGCAAUGUUUUGAUACAGAGAAGUUGAAUUUGAAGAAGGUGGAUGAAUACAAAUAUCUGAAACAGAGUUGUUGCUAUUCAAUUGCUGGCGUGGAUGAUGCCGAAAUGUUUCGUGCUGUAACGGUAUAAUAUACUGUUGCCUCCUAAUUAAAAUACCUUCUUUUACAUUACCUGGGGCACAACAAUAAAUACGUCGCUAUAUAAGGCUAAUUCCAUAGAAGGCAUUAUCAUGCCUGUAGUUGUUCUUGUGUACUGUCAUGUUUGUUGACUUAUAUUUUUAAUAGGAAGCCAUGAACAUCGUCCAUAUCAGCCAGGAGGACCAAGAUAAUGUUUUCGCAAUGGUUUCAGCUGUGCUCUGGCUUGGAGAUGUCUCUUUCACAAUUAUUGAUAAUGAAAAUCAUGUUGAGAUCACUGUAGAAGAAGGUAAAAAGAACAUGUGUGCUUUCAGUCGUUAAUAUGGUUAUAUGAACCAUAACUUCCACAAUAUUAUGGUAUCUGGUGAUGAUUUGGUUAACAUACUGUUGUAUAUCAUCAGUUUUAAAUACUGAUGGUACCUUUACUGCUGUGUAUUUUCGUCAAUUUUGUUCAAUGUUUUAGUAUAACAUACCGCAAUGUGAAGAUCUGAAAACAAAUUAGCAUUUGUAUCGCUGGCUGGUUCUAUUUUAUAAAGUUAACAAAAUAAGUUUUAUUUCAGCUGCGGAAACGGUUUCACGACUUCUUGGCUGCAGUAUUGAAGAUCUCAAUUUAGCUUUGUCAAAGCGGCACAUGAAAGUUAAUAAUGAGAAUAUUGUCCAGAAGCUUACCCUUACACAGGUUAGCAUGAUUUCUCAACUAAUGGCUAGGCAAAUUACUAGCCAUGAAGUUCUAUUUGAUUUACAUCUCUUACACAUCUACCUCUCUUUGGAUAUUGCAGGCAACUGACACACGGGAUGCUCUGGCCAAAGCACUCUAUGCCAGUUUGUUCGAGUGGCUUGUAGAACAAAUUAACAAGUCCCUUUCAGUUGGCAAGCGUCGAACUGGGAGAUCAAUCAGUAUUCUUGACAUCUACGGCUUUGAAUCAUUUGAUGUAAUGCACUUCCCUUUGGCUUGCAUUUUCACUUUUUCAUUGUCAAAUGUUUUCUCAUGAUACGCUAUCAAUUUGCAGAAAAACAGUUUUGAACAGUUCUGCAUUAAUUAUGCCAAUGAGAGGCUACAACAACAUUUCAACCGCCAUUUGUUUAAGCUUGAGCAAGAGGUGAGUUGUUGUUUGACUUUCAGGUGCAUGUUUUGCAGCAUUGCAAUUUUACUUAGUUUCUGGUACCAGCAGGUGUACAUUUUGUAGUGAUCAUUCUUGUUCUUUUAUUGACUUCACAAUACUUUCACACUACUCAGUAAAGAAAAAAAAUACUUAAAAGUUACUCCCUCCAUUCCUAAAUAUAAGUCUUUUUAGAGAUUUCAAUAUGGACUACAUACGGAUGUAUAUAAACGUAGUUUAGAGUGUAGAUUCACUCAUUUUGCUCCGUAUGUAGUCCAUAUUGGAAUCUCUAAAAAGAUUUAUAUUUAGGAACGGAGGUAGUAAAAGAGUAUUGAUGCUCCUAUUAUUCUGUGAACUUCUCUUACUGAUUAUGGCUUCAAUUUCUGUCACAACUGUAAUGUUCUUCCUUAUCUGUUGAGAUUAAAAUGUAUUGCAUGUGCUUCUUGAGAUUGCUAUUUCUAAUCCUUUAUAUUGGCUAAAUUCAGAAAGGCGAGAUUGUUGUAUAGUCACUCCACGAUUUAUUGAUUUUCUUGUAACUUUCUAAAAAUAUGUCAUUUUUGUGAUCAGGAAUAUGUUGAAGAUGGCAUUGACUGGGCUAAGGUUGAGUUUGAGGACAACCAGGAUUGCUUGAAUCUAUUUGAGAAAGUAUGGACCUGUACAUUUUCUUCAUUGUUGUCAUCAUCAAGAAACCAUAAAUAUGUUAGUCUGUGCUGGAAUGCUUUAAAUUCUGCCAGUCCUGGUGCACGUAGCUCCCCCUUGCGUAGGGUCUGUGGAAGGGUCCGAGCACUUCGGGUCUUUUGUACGCAGCCUUUCCCUACAUUUCUGCAAGCUGUUUCCAGGACUCGAACCCGUGACCUCAUUGUCACAAGGCGACAGCUUUACCGCUGCGCCAAGGCUCCCCUUCGCUUUAAAUUCUACUAGUACUUCCUUAAAAAGCACAUGCCUAUUUUAUUUGACAUAAGCAGAGGGGGAAUGCCUUUGUUUUGCUGGAAAGUGGUUAACUUGCAAAAUUCCAAGUAUAAAUUUACUGCAAGUGCUAUUUUCCCAUAGCAUUCAAUCAUUCUUAGCUAAGAGACAAAAAUUGACUACUAGAAAAAUAGAAUGUGAUAGAAGGUCUCCACAUCACUCAAAGUAAAGCCUGCAGAUUUCAGAUUGUACCAAUAUGCAAAUACUUCCAUUUUUAGGAAUACAGGGGUCCUACAAACUUGGUAAAUACUCCGUGAUUGACCCAUCCUAACGUUGUACAAGUAAAUGUAGUUACUGGUUUCUCAAACCAUGAUGAUAACUAGCAUCGGGAAAACAAGGGUGGAACAUAUAACUGGCUUAUCACAAUGGAUUCUGGGUUUCCAACCAAGGUGUAUAUUGGGUUAUGGUAUGUUUGGAUAUGGACCAAAGUGUACCCUACAAUUUUUUUUGGACAUGACCAUUGGCCUCUGUUUGGACAAAGACCAUCUUUUUGGCAUAACAAUGCUUCUUUACCAACUCUAGUUCAGUUUUCUAGCCAAUGUUGGCCAAUCAAUUGGCAAGCAAAACCUCAACCAAAAUUUUGGCUCAACUUUUCGGCAUGACAACCUUGGGCACAAACCAAACAUACCUCUUAACCUUGCUGGAGUUUAAUGACUUCUGUAGAUGUCUUGUGGCAAAAUUAAAAUAAAGAAAAUAAAACUCGCUUACUUCUCUUACUGGAUAAAAAUGUCUGGGAUUCUUUAUCUUGCUUACUUCUCUUACUGGAUACAGAAACCACUGGGGUUAUUGUCUCUGCUGGAUGAGGAAUCUACAUUCCCUAAUGCCACAGACCUUACUUUUGCAAACAAGCUGAAGCAACAUCUUGACACUAAUUCUUGCUUCAGAGGAGAAAGAGGCAAGGCUUUCACUGUCCGUCACUAUGCAGGAGAGGUUGGGAGUUGUCAAAUAUCCAGUUCUAUGUUCACAUCAGUCUUUCUUUUACCAUUUACCAACUUCAUUUCCAUUUCUUUGAUGAUUAGGUGGCGUAUGACACAUCGGGUUUUCUGGAGAAGAACAGAGAUUUAUUGCACAUGGACUCGAUUCAGUUCCUUGCCAAAUGCAAAUUAUCUAUACCACAAACGUUUGCAUCUAAGAUGCUUGCUCAAUCUGAUAAUCUAGAAUCCGUACCAUACAGGCCUAGUGUUGCUGAUUCGCAGAAGUUAAGUGUAGCAAUGAAGUUUAAGGUAAAAACCUUUGUGGCCCCAAAGUAAGUUCUAAGGAGAUCUUGAAUGAAUCAGAUCAACUGUUAACAACCGUUUGUUUAAAUGUUUCACAGGGACAAUUGUUCCAACUUAUGCAAAGACUUGAAAGCACAACACCACACUUCAUACGUUGUAUUAAACCAAAUAAUUUGCAACUCCCUGCCAUUUACGGACAAGAACUUGUGCUUCAACAACUGAAAUGCUGCGGGGUUCUUGAAGUUGUGCGCAUUUCAAGAUCUGGGUACCCAACGAGAAUGACUCAUCAGAAGUUUGCUCGGCGGUAAUUCAAAUAUCUGUAUAUCUGUAUUAUGCUUCUGAUUUUUGUUGUGUCCAAGAUGUUAACGAUUCAAGUUAUAUCAGGUAUGGUUUUCUUCUUCUUGAGGAUGUUGCGUCUCAAGAUCCACUUAGUGUUUCGGUUGCAAUUCUUCAUCAAUUCAACAUUUUGCCUGAGAUGUAUCAAGUUGGCUACACAAAGUUAUUCUUCCGAACUGGUCAGGUCAGUCAAGCAGUCUUUGUUUCAUUUAUUAACAUGCCUUUAUUGUUGUAUUCCAUACAUUAUACUGCUACUUUGUUUACACUCUCUAUUCUUCUCGUACUCACUGGGUUUCACUUUCAGUAGACAAGUAAUUAGAUAAGGAUUCCUUAUACUGCCCAAUAUUUCACAACAGGGCAGCUUAGUAAUUUGAUAUUCGGCUGAUAUGCUGGUGAUUUGCUAGUGCACUGAUUUGCUGUUGUCUAGCAAGGCCAUUAAUAAGUACAUUCAGUGAUUUGCUAGUAGAGGCAGUAAGAUACCAAAUUUAUAUAUUCUACUGUCCUAGUCGGGAUGAAUCGUACUAAGCAUACACUAAAGUAAGGAGUAAAAAAUACACAGAAAUUGGGAUCCAAAAGAUCCAGGUAGUACGGCAGCACUGAUCUAUAAACAACAAAGUUUCAUAAAUAGAAAAAACAAUAAAAUAUAUAUACAAGAAAAAUGCACCAAACAGGUAUCAAGGUAGGGAUGCUUUCCAAAGAGCAUGCCAAGAGCACAAGGGCUCACGGUUCACAAAUUUUUGAACUACAUCUGGUGUUUUGUUUAGUGAAUGACAACUGGCGCUUCUCGUUCUUCUAGUGUACACGGCAGUGUCAGUUUGGCUUGCCUUCUUUUCCUUGUGAAGCGAUGUAUUUCUGGAAAAUGCUGUAUCACCGUGUUUGUUCAUCUGUACUUUAUUGCAUAUCAGGUUGACAUAUUUUCAAGUAGAGGUGUUGGCCUAUGAUACUUAUAUGAAUUGACAUCACAUGUUUAAAGUUGCUUUCUAAAAUUUAUAAUUCAUAAUUAUGCUGUCUUUGAAGUUUGAGUGGUUAUCUAUACAUUCAUCUACUACUAAGCUUUUAAGUCACUAUCUUGUGUUGCUUCUUUUUUGGGAACUGAAGAUUGGCAACCUUGAGAAUACUCGGAAUCGUACUCUGCAUGGUGUUUUAAGGGUUCAAAGUUGUUUCCGAGGGUAUCAAGCACGGCGCCAUGCAAGUGAACGAAUCAGAGGAGUUUUGGCUCUUCAAUCAUGUACGGUAUCCAAGCCCCGCUGCUUUAUGCAUUUUACUGUAUUUCUUGUUGCUGUAUCAUUCUCUCCUGCUCAUGCUUACUGUAUGGGCUGGUUGCUCUUCACAUCUUGCAGUCAUUCGUGCUGAGAAUGCAAGGCAAAGUUAUUCAUCUCUGUUGAGGAAACAUAGGGCAGCCACUCUUGUGCAGAAAAAUCUAAGAGGCUGGCGUGCAAGAAGAUACUUCAUCAAGAUACGGAAGGCUUCAGUGGUUAUACAAUCUGGUAAGAAGAUUUUCCUCAUUCUCGUCAGACUCUGCAAAGAUAGAAGUGGCAGUAUGACUCACUAUUUCUGGUUCCCUAUUGUCUUCGCAUAAUAUGAAGGUAUCCGCGGCUGCCUUGUUAGAAGAUGCGCCGGCAAUGUCGAUCUACUGAACGUGUUGAGAGAAUUCGAGUCGAAAAAGGUACACAGCAUAUCUGUUUCUAUGCUAUCUAAAAUAUGAUGUCCAUGCUAGUAAUGUUUCUCAUUUGGAACUGCAGAAAAUUUGUUUACACUAUCUGCUCGCGCUUAAACCCAUGAAUUAAAUUAUUUCAGGAGGCAGACGGCGACCAAAUCUUGAUCAAGGCGUCUUUCCUGGCCGAGCUACAACGGCGAAUCCUUCGUGCCGAGGCGACAGUUCGAGAGAAGGACGAGGAGAACGAGAUGCUACACCAGCGGCUCCAGCAAUACGAGAACCGGUGGCUAGAAUACGAGCAGAAAAUGAAGGCGAUGGAGGAGAUGUGGCAGAAGCAGAUGCGGUCGCUGCAGUCGAGCCUGUCGGUGGCCAAGAAGAGCCUGGCCCUGGACGAGACGCCUCGGAUGUCCGACUCGUCCGUGGAGCAGAGCUGGGAGAGCAACGGGAACCACGUCGGUGGGGGCUCCUCCCAGCAGCUGGCGGCGGCGCCGCGGAUCACCGGGCGCGAGAUGAACGCCAGCAUGAGCGUCAUCGGGCGGUUGGCGGAGGAGCUUGAGCAGCGGAGCCAGGUGUUCGCCGACGACGCCAAGUUCCUGGUGGAGGUCAAGUCCGGGCAGGCGGACGCGAGCCUGAACCCGGACGUGGAGCUCCGCAGGCUGAAGCAGAACUUCGACUCGUGGAAGAAGGACUUCGGCUCCCGCAUCAGGGAGACCAAGGUGAUCCUGAACAAGCUCGCGAGCGGCGGCGGCGGCGGCGGCAACGAGUCCUCCCCCAACUCGGCCAAGCGGAAGUGGUGGGGCAGGCUCAACACCUCCAAGUUCUCGUGAGUUUCUUAUGGUGUCUGAUGAUGAUGGUGAUGGUGUAGACGCGCCGGCAUUUUACACGCCGGCGCUAGUCCUAGAGAGGUUUGUGAGUGCUGCUGCUGCGGAGUCCAGUGUUUUGGGCUGGAUGAGUAUGUGAUUCGUGGAGGGCGAGUUGUAUAGUUCUUCCACUGGGGGGCUGCUUCUUUUCCAGGCCGCCCAUGAACCACUGAGUUGUGAUGUAAUUACUUGCUAAGAUGUACUACUACUGCUUAAAAGGGGAGAGAUUGGGGAUUGCUAGUGCCAUUUUGUCUUUUGUGUAUGUAUAUGUUUGUAUGCGGUUUAGUUUAACUGCAGCCAAGUAGGCUGUGUGCAUCUAUUCAUCCAUGCAUAUGGACUUGCAUAUAUGGCCUUGCAUGUUUGUUUUGCACAAGCAGGUGUAAAUUGUUUUGAUGAAUCUGCACACGUGAUUGGUUUCAGUUCAGUCAUCCAGAAUAUCUUCACUGCUCAAGAUUAGAUAAUACUAUCAGGGAAGUUGCAACGUAGUCAAAGUAUAAUAAUUUUAGCAACUGAAUGGCAAUACAUCUUGCAACAGGUUGCAACGUAGUCAAAGUACAAUACUGUAAAUAAUUCCAGCAACUGAAUGGCAAUACAUUCCCUGUGCUCCGGCAUCGUCACCUAUAAGUUGACCAGGACGUCUUAUUUAUUUCAGCAGCGCUAACUGCGCUGCUUACAUUAUCCAAGCUUGCCAUUCAGCCGGCCUGUUCUUGCUUCAG
This 14037-nucleotide long non-coding RNA is filed under the name Triticum aestivum (bread wheat). RNAcentral's name for it is "long non-coding RNA (TAES_LNC018272)". The stretch from base 5396 to 5482 matches the Rfam family "MIR1120/MIR1122 microRNA precursor family". The record is from RNAcentral. Lineage: Eukaryota; Viridiplantae; Streptophyta; Magnoliopsida; Poales; Poaceae.